CAGUUUGCUUGCAAACUGGAGAUGGCGACCGGCGCACGGGUGAGUAACACGUAUCCAACCUGCCGAUAACUCGGGGAUAGCCUUUCGAAAGAAAGAUUAAUACCCGAUGGUAUAAUUAGACCGCAUGGUCUUGUUAUUAAAGAAUUUCGGUUAUCGAUGGGGAUGCGUUCCAUUAGGCAGUUGGUGAGGUAACGGCUCACCAAACCUUCGAUGGAUAGGGGUUCUGAGAGGAAGGUCCCCCACAUUGGAACUGAGACACGGUCCAAACUCCUACGGGAGGCAGCAGUGAGGAAUAUUGGUCAAUGGGCGCAGGCCUGAACCAGCCAAGUAGCGUGAAGGAUGACUGCCCUAUGGGUUGUAAACUUCUUUUAUAUGGGAAUAAAGUUUUCCACGUGUGGAAUUUUGUAUGUACCAUAUGAAUAAGGAUCGGCUAACUCCGUGCCAGCAGCCGCGGUAAUACGGAGGAUCCGAGCGUUAUCCGGAUUUAUUGGGUUUAAAGGGAGCGUAGGUGGACAGUUAAGUCAGUUGUGAAAGUUUGCGGCUCAACCGUAAAAUUGCAGUUGAUACUGGCUGUCU
This 576-nucleotide ribosomal RNA is filed under the name uncultured Bacteroidales bacterium. RNAcentral's name for it is "bacterial SSU rRNA". It matches the Rfam family "Bacterial small subunit ribosomal RNA", at positions 72 to 642 of the family's 1533-position model. The record is from RNAcentral. Lineage: Bacteria; Pseudomonadati; Bacteroidota; Bacteroidia; Bacteroidales.